CUGGCCUCGAACUCACAGCAAUCUUCCUGCCUCAGGCUCUUGAGUGCUGGGAUUACAAGAGUGUGCCACCACGCCAGGCUUCCCCUUCUCCUUGACGCCGACCAGCCACACUCUCAGCCUGGAGCUUUGAGUCUCUAAGGUGCGGAGAAGGCGGAAGUUGUUGACAGUGACAUGGGAGAAACUGAGUGUCCGUGGUGCAGGCUGCAAGUGUCAGCGUGGUGACGGCACUGACCACAUCCACUGCAGCCUGUUCCCACCUGACCCGUGCUCCGCUUCUGCCUGGACAUUUUCUGUGCCUGUGUCCCUGGCCUUUCUGAUGGGCAGGGGGGCCCUGACAUCCUUCCAGCCAGUGUUGUUUUGCAGAGUUGCAUCUGAGACUCACGAAUGGCACAAAUGCAUCCUGCUCCAGGCGAGCUCAUUGUUUGGCUCUCUGAAGCCUUCUGCUCAGUGAUCUGGACUGAAAAAGAUGGCUCUCCCAGCUCUCCAGGCCCCAUAUCAGAUGUUCAAGUCCUUAAACCCUCUUCUCUCGCUGUCCACACGCAGUCACCAAGUCCUAUGGGCAAGGAUCUCCUGAAAACGUUUCCUGGUCUCCACAGCCUAAACUGCCAUCCUCUUUGCCUAGAAUCUUGUAGUUGCUCCCAAACCAGUGUCCUUGCUCCCUAAUCCCUCACUCAUGCAGAUCCAGAGCAAACUGUGCCACUCCUUUGCUUACAGCCUUACAGUGUUUGUGUUGCUCUGAAGGUUAAGUCCACAUCACCUUGCAGUCCCUAACCAAAUAGGCAGAGCAAUAGUGACCCGUGGGAAAACUACACGUGGCCUAAUCUCCUUGUACUUGGGCUCUCUGAGGAAGGGAGAGGACAGGAAAAUAUUUGGAGAGAUAACAGUGAACAAUUUUCAAAUUUGAUGAAAAGUAUGAACUCACAGAUCCAAGGUGCAUGAUGAAUCCCAGGAGACAUGAAGCAAUUGCACUAAGACACAUGAUCAAGUGGCUGAAAACAGGUGGCAAACAGAGAAUCCUGAAGUUCAACCAGAGAUGGAAACAUCUCAUUCUGAAGAUAUGGAGGACAGCAGAUUUCCUGCUGGAAACUAGGCAAACCAGAGGACAGUUGGGCAGCACACUUCAAACAGUGAAAGAAAACAUCCUCAACUCAUGAAAACCUCCAUAGAAAAUGAAGAAGAAUAAAGUGAACAGAAUUCGUCUCCAGCCAACUUGCACUAUAAGGAAUAUUAAGAGAAGUCCUUGAGGCAGAGGAAAAUGGGGCUGGGUGGAAAUUUAGAUCUGUGCAAAGAAAUAAGGAGCCCCCAAAAUGCUAAUUAUGUGGGUAAAAAUCCUUAUUUAAACUUCUGUAAAAUGUAAUUGUUUAAGUAAAGAAAGGAACAGCAUGUACUGUGGAGUUUAUAACAGGCAGAAGUCACGUGAUUGCCAACCACAGCAUAGGAGGCAGGAAGUGUGAGAGAGAAGGGCUCUGCUGCAAGGUUCUUAUGCUCUAUGUGAAGCCGCUCUAUGCGCUUGAGGAAGGGUGAGAGUUAAAGAUGCACCGUAUAAACCCAGAGCACCUGCUAAAACCACAGAACAAAAGCUAUGGCUAAUAGGUCAACAGAGGAGGGAUUCCAAUGGUGUGGGAGAAAGCUUUUUCGAAUGCUGGCUCCGAUCAUUAUAGGAUCAUGGUGAUCACUUCGGGGGCCUUCCAUUUGUCAAACCUCACUAACACCCUUCAUUUAUGCCAAUUAUAUUUCAGUCAAGCUGUUAAGAAAAGGUGUCUCUUCAUGGCAGGAUUAGGGAUCACUUUUAUUUUCUUCAUUAUCCAGGAUAAAAAUGAGAAGGAUAAUGUGAAUAAGC
This is a long non-coding RNA of Heterocephalus glaber (naked mole-rat), 1840 nucleotides long. The record is from Ensembl. Lineage: Eukaryota; Metazoa; Chordata; Mammalia; Rodentia; Bathyergidae.